RNAcentral lists this ribosomal RNA (499 nucleotides) under uncultured Glomeromycotina. RNAcentral's name for it is "partial small subunit ribosomal RNA". It matches the Rfam family "Eukaryotic small subunit ribosomal RNA", at positions 591 to 1092 of the family's 1831-position model. Lineage: Eukaryota; Fungi; Glomeromycota. The record is from RNAcentral.
CCAAUAGCGUAUAUUAAAGUUGCUGCAGUUAAAAAGCUCGUAGUUGAAUUUCGGGACCAUCAUGUCGGUCGUGCCUCGGUACGUACUGGCAUUGUUGGUUUCUCCCUUCUGACGAACCAUGAUGUCAUUUAUUUGGUGUUGUGGGGAAUCAGGACUGUUACUUUGAAAAAAUUAGAGUGUUUAAAGCAGGCUCACGCUUGAAUACAUGAGCAUGGAAUAAUGAAAUAGGACGUUUGAUUCUAUUUUGUUGGUUUCUAGGAUCGACGUAAUGAUUAAUAGGGAUAGUUGGGGGCAUUAGUAUUCAAUUGUCAGAGGUGAAAUUCUUGGAUUUAUUGAAGACUAACUACUGCGAAAGCAUUUGCCAAGGAUGUUUUCAUUAAUCAAGAACGAAAGUUAGGGGAUCGAAGACGAUCAGAUACCGUCGUAGUCUUAACCAUAAACUAUGCCGACUAGGGAUCGGAUGAUGUUAAUUUUUUAAUGACUCAUUCGGCGCCUUACG